This 482-nucleotide ribosomal RNA is filed under the name uncultured Pelobacter sp. RNAcentral describes it as "bacterial SSU rRNA". It matches the Rfam family "Bacterial small subunit ribosomal RNA", at positions 903 to 1382 of the family's 1533-position model. Lineage: Bacteria; Pseudomonadati; Thermodesulfobacteriota; Desulfuromonadia; Desulfuromonadales; Desulfuromonadaceae. The record is from RNAcentral.
UUAAAUGAAGUUGACGGGGCCGCACAAGCGGUGGAGCAUGUGGUUUAAUUCGACGCAACGCGCAGAACCUUACCUGGGCUUGACAUCCCGAUCGUACUUUCUGGAAACAGUUAGGUCAGUUCGGCUGGAUCGGUGACAGGUGCUGCAUGGCUGUCGUCAGCCCGUGUCGUGAGAUGUUGGGUUAAGUCCCGCAACGAGCGCAACCCUUGUCCUUAGUUGCCAGCAUUAAGUUGGGCACUCUAAGGAGACUGCCGGUGUUAAACCGGAGGAAGGUGGGGAUGACGUCAAGUCCUCAUGGCCCUUAUGUCCAGGGCUACACACGUGCUACAAUGGAUCGUACAAAGGGUCGCGAACCCGCGAGGGGGAGCCAAUCCCAAAAACCGGUCCUCGGUUCGGAUUGGAGUCUGCAACUCGACUCCAUGAAGUUGGAAUCGCUAGUAAUCGUGGAUCAGCAUGCCACGGUGAAUACGUUCCCGGGCCUU